AGGAGCGUGGCUCAUUAAGGUAGGGCGUCCGCCGCAGGCGGAAGGCCGACAGUUCAAGUCUGUCCGCCCCGACCA
RNAcentral lists this transfer RNA (75 nucleotides) under Omnitrophica WOR_2 bacterium RIFCSPLOWO2_02_FULL_50_19. RNAcentral's name for it is "tRNA-Cys". RNAcentral also lists the same sequence under 1 other name. Lineage: Bacteria; Pseudomonadati; Candidatus Omnitrophota. The record is from RNAcentral.